RNAcentral lists this ribosomal RNA (160 nucleotides) under uncultured bacterium. RNAcentral's name for it is "partial 16S ribosomal RNA". It matches the Rfam family "Bacterial small subunit ribosomal RNA", at positions 355 to 507 of the family's 1533-position model. The record is from RNAcentral.
UGGGGAAUAUUGCACAAUGGGGGAAACCCUGAUGCAGCCAUGCCGCGUGUGUGAAGAAGGCCUUCGGGUUGUAAAGCACUUUCAGCGAGGAGGAAAGGUCAGUAGCUAAUACCUGCUGGCUGUGACGUUACUCGCAGAAGAAGCACCGGCUAACUCCGUG